GCCAGAGGGAGAUUUUAGAGCCAGAGAUAAAUAUUCGACUGAAAGCAAAUCAUCUUUUGUAGUGGAAUGUGUAGUGGAAUUUGUAGUGGAUGUUAGCCAAGAUAUGUUAAGAAAUAUUGACAAUGGCGGAACGAGUACCAGUCGGUUGGGUGGCAUAUACUACUACUAUAUGUGAUACAAUCUGAGAGGUCAGCAGAGCUGUGGAACUACCUCCGGUGCAGCCAGAACGAC
Pelobates cultripes (western spadefoot toad) is the source of this 231-nucleotide non-coding RNA. The record is from the annotation of a GenBank genome assembly. NCBI's taxonomy places the organism in Eukaryota, Metazoa, Chordata, Amphibia, Anura, Pelobatidae.